Molecule: ribosomal RNA, 497 nt
Filed under: uncultured bacterium
Lineage: Bacteria
Description: partial 16S ribosomal RNA
Rfam family: Bacterial small subunit ribosomal RNA
Source: RNAcentral
GAUGAACGCUGGCGGCGUGCCUAAUACAUGCAAGUCGAGCGAACAGACGAGGAGCUUGCUCCUCUGACGUUAGCGGCAGACGGGUGAGUAACACGUGGAUAACCUACCUAUAAGACUGGGAUAACUUCGGGAAACCGGAGCUAAUACCGGAUAAUAUAUUGAACCGCAUGGUUCAAUAGUGAAAGACGGUUUUGCUGUCACUUGUAGAUGGAUCCGCGCCGCAUUAGCUAGUUGGUAAGGUAACGGCUUACCAAGGCAACGAUGCGUAGCCGACCUGAGAGGGUGAUCGGCCACACUGGAACUGAGACACGGUCCAGACUCCUACGGGAGGCAGCAGUAGGGAAUCUUCCGCAAUGGGCGAAAGCCUGACGGAGCAACGCCGCGUGAGUGAUGAAGGUCUUCGGAUCGUAAAACUCUGUUAUUAGGGAAGAACAAAUGUGUAAGUAACUAUGCACGUCUUGACGGUACCUAAUCAGAAAGCCACGGCUAACUACGUG